GACGAACGCUGGCGGCGUGCUUAACACAUGCAAGUCGAACGGUGAAGCGCCUUCCUUUUUGGUGGGUGUGGAUGAGUGGCGAACGGGUGAGUAACACGUGAGUAACCUGCCCCCUUCUUCUGGAUAACCGCAUGAAAGUGUGGCUAAUACGGGAUAUUCUGGGUCUGUCGCAUGAUGGGUCUGGGAAAGAUAUUGUUUCGGUGGGGGAUGGGCUCGCGGCCUAUCAGCUUGUUGGUGGGGUGAUGGCCUACCAAGGCGGUGACGGGUAGCCGGCCUGAGAGGGUGGACGGUCACACUGGGACGGAGACACGGCCCAGACUCCUACGGGAGGCAGCAGGGGGGAAUAGUGCACAAUGGGCGCAAGCCUGAUGCAGCGACGCCGCGUGAGGGAUGGAGGCCUUCGGGUUGUGAACCUCUUUCGCCAGUGAAGCAGGCCUGCCUCGUUUGUGGGUGGGUUGACGGUAGCUGGAGAAGAAGCGCCGGCUAACUACGUG
This 494-nucleotide ribosomal RNA is filed under the name uncultured bacterium. Its description in RNAcentral is "partial 16S ribosomal RNA". It matches the Rfam family "Bacterial small subunit ribosomal RNA", at positions 28 to 507 of the family's 1533-position model. The record is from RNAcentral.